This is a long non-coding RNA of Myxocyprinus asiaticus (Chinese sucker), 2248 nucleotides long. RefSeq lists it as uncharacterized. The record is from RefSeq and is a predicted model, not a curated record. The transcript has 2 exons. NCBI's taxonomy places the organism in Eukaryota, Metazoa, Chordata, Actinopteri, Cypriniformes, Catostomidae.
AGCAGCUUUUCAGUCUGGAAAACAUGCACUACAACAUGAAUUUGCACUCUAUUCACUGUCAUCUCCUACAAACAGAGCACUCCAUGCUCAUGAUGGUGUUUCCGUGAAUGAGCCAAGGAGGAGCUUUAAAAGGUCACCAGCAGGCCGUGCACAUACGCUCUCCUGGACACGCUGCAGUAAAGCGCAACACAUGCGAGAGCGAAAACACCGCAGUGAAUCCAGAAACAGCGAGACUUUUCACAAGACUGAGACUCCCAAACAGACAUGAAAAACACAUACACAAAGAACUCAAACAACAAGUCAAUCUCAUUUAGACACAAACACACACACUACUAAAGAUCAUGAUUGUUUAAAUACACCACACAGUGAAAUGCACGACCUGGGAGCAAAUCUCUAACAUGAAUUACAGAUGACACAGAUUGUACCUGCUUUCGGUGUUGUGUGUGAUUAGAGAGCACAGGUGAAGCACCAGGGUGCAGACAUGGAAUUGUUGAUCUUUUGGAAGUGUACCAUUUAAUAGCAUUUAACUUGUUUUCAUUGAGUGACAAGCCAAAACGGUUUACAUUUUAUCAGACAGUUAUCAUACAUGAUAGGAUGCUGUAAUUGAAAUGCAGAUAAUUAACUGUUCACAGACAUGCAAACUCAAAGCUUCUGUAUAUCACAAAUAAUAGAAUUGGGCUUUUUUCUGCUAAAUAAAUGUUGUGCAUUUGGAGUGAAUGGAGUAAAGAUGCUAUUUAAUUUGUCAGGCUUUGUAAAUCACUUGUGAAAUAAUCAACUGUGUGAGUAAUCAUUUCAGGAGUCACAUCUUUACAGUUCAGACUAUGUUAUAUGUGUGUAAUAACAGAAUGAAAACGGGGAUGUGUUGAAAAGCAGUAUUUUCAAACUGGGGUCCACUGAAAUUUGGAGAGAAAACUAUUUGUAUUUCAAUUCAAAAUGUGUUUGAACAGUAAGAAAUUAAAACCAAAUAUGCAAAUAGUUUGUAUCAUUCUAGAGAGUGUUUCCUCGCCACCAUCGCCUAGCUAGUUACUUGUUGAAUGGCACUAUAAUGGCACUGUAAAUCUGCUUUGCAACAAUAUUAAUAAAGUGCAAUACAGACUAAUUUGAAUGGAAUGAAAAUGUUUCUCCAAUAUUCUGCUAUUAAGUGGAAAAAAGGUAUGCUUUUAAAUAGUUGAACACAACCACACCAACACCAGCAAUUCAAGUGUGGUAUGCUUGAGCAUCUUUUGGGACUAAGUCUGAAACUACUGAUCCAGUAUUCUGAUAAUCAUACUGUCUCUAAUCAUAAUACUGUAAGCUCAUAAUUCUUGAAUGGAAAAACUUGCCAACAUAAGGACAGAUCAUGAAAAUACAGUGCAGAAUCACUUUACAACAGACAAACACUACCAUAUGCUCUGUUUCAUAAGUUUUAUUCAUGCUUAAUGUGGAGAUCUUAGAUAUUGCACUUCAUAACACUUCUUCUUGCACAGAUAUUACAGAGACAAUUAAAUAACAUACUGCUAUUUAAUAUGAUAUUCCAUAUUGUUUUACAACAGAUAAUUACAAUGACAUAAACACUCAAUUAUGAGAUAUAUUUGCACAUCCACAGUACAAAGAGGUGUAAUGAUAUCUUGGGUAAAUUAAAUAGCAGAUCUCCUUAGAUCCAUGAGGGCAAUAAAACAAGUUACGUUGUAGAUAAUAUUAUUAUGUACAGAAACAUUUCUAAGCAAGAGUGUGUUUUGGAGACAACAGUACAAAAAUAAACAAUGACAAAAAGAGACGGCAAAAGCCUAGUGUUGCCUUGCAGCAUUUUUUUUUUUUUUUUAUCUGGUCCCAUAAACAUACAUGCCUCACUGAAUUAUACACCUUAUUCACAGAAGCGCCAUAUUUAAUUUGAGAAGGGAAUAAAAACAAGGCUAUGAGUGAUGAGUUCUCGGGAGUUUUUUUGCCUACUGAACAUUUUCACAUUAGAUCAUCGCCAAUCUAAACAACAAUUCAAACCAUUGCCGAGACUGAAAGUCUAUCCCCCACUGUCUCUUUUACAUUUAUGUCAAAAGUUAAAUAUGGCGCUACUCUUAAUAAGGUCCAUUAAAACAUGAAUAUUUAAAUGAAUUUGAUAAAGUAAUGUUGGAGGAUAGGUUUUGGUUUGGACUGUUUGUAAGAGAUCUUGUAACAGUGCCAAUAAAGUACAUAUCUGCUCAAAAUCAUCAGUCCAAACUGAUAUAAAGAUUAAGUCGAUUAGGUUUUCCUGCUCUGUAUCAACCACACUGCA